RNAcentral lists this ribosomal RNA (253 nucleotides) under uncultured bacterium. Its description in RNAcentral is "partial 16S ribosomal RNA". It matches the Rfam family "Bacterial small subunit ribosomal RNA", at positions 524 to 776 of the family's 1533-position model. The record is from RNAcentral.
UACAGAGGGGGCAAGCGUUGUUCGGAAUUACUGGGCGUAAAGGGCGCGUAGGCGGCCCGCUAAGUCGAACGUGAAAUCCCCGGGCUCAACCCGGGAACUGCGUCUGAUACUGGAAGGCUUGAAUCCGGGAGAGGGAUGCGGAAUUCCAGGUGUAGCGGUGAAAUGCGUAGAUAUCUGGAGGAACACCGGUGGCGAAGGCGGCAUCCUGGACCGGUAUUGACGCUGAGGCGCGAAAGCCAGGGGAGCAAACGGG